Molecule: long non-coding RNA, 1708 nt
Filed under: Apis dorsata (giant honeybee)
Lineage: Eukaryota; Metazoa; Arthropoda; Insecta; Hymenoptera; Apidae
Description: uncharacterized LOC102677582
Source: RNAcentral
CUGGCUCUCUCCGGUCUUGCGCGGCGCGCACCAGUCAACCCGGAGCCACGGUAGCGCAAGUACUGUGUUCGUCACGUUCAAGGGACAGUUACAUCAGAAACGGCACGGCUCUCUUUUUACCGGUCUUUAAAUAACGUUCGUGUGCAAAGUGUGAGGUUUCCUCUCUCGCGACCGAUGUAACGACACGCGGCCAGAUCGUAUCCAACGUUUGGAGAACGUGUUACGGAGACUUAUAUAUAUAUAUAUACAUAUACAUAUAUACAUAUACACGAUCGAAUCGAGUGCUUUAAAUUGUCGUGCCUAUACGCGUGUAUAAUUAUAUAUUAGAGUUAUCUAAGGAAGGAAAGAAGAUUCUAUGUACACACCAAUGUAUAUAUAUAUAUAUAUGUAUGUAUGUAUGUAUAUACGUGUAAGAUAUAAUUAAAGGGUAAGGGGGAAGAAAAAAAAAGUAAAUCGCGAGUGGUGAGUGAGACACGUUGGACGAGACGGGGGUUGAAAUCGGCCGUGGAUAGUGGAGAACCGAUGGCACGCGAGACAACGGAGUCAUCCCCUUUGUCGGCUCGGCUCGAUCGCGGACUCAGGGAUCCUCGUGCGUGGAAAGUCGGAGGGAUGGGGUCGUGACUGUCCCCGAGUGUCAGUCGACGCCCCAACACGACCGUCGACGCUCGGUCGCGGAAGAGGAAGGAAGGGAUCCUGUUCGAAAUCCGUUUUAGGGAACGGUUUUGGCCACAGCGCGGAUCGGACACAGCGUGCGGAUCUCGAGAGUCGUAGAGAGAGUCGCGCGGCGCAAGUGGAGGAGGGGAAGGAGAAGAAGGAAGAAAAAAAGAAGUAUCGACGUUUCCACGGCGCUGGAGAGAGAGAGAGAAAGAGAGAGAAAGAGAGAGAGAGAGAGUGUUGUCUCACCCCCUCGCGUGGCGGAUCACCCGUGCUUUGGAAGCGUGCAACGAACGAACGAGCGUGUGGUGUGCAUCGAGCGGUAUCCCGUGGCCCGGUCUCCACCAGUGAAAGUGAACGAUGCGUCGAGACCACCGGCCUCGACACACACGCCGCUAUUGUGACAGGGUUGAAUUUCUGUGAUAAGGGGGAGAGAGAGAAAAAAGAAAGGAUCGAUUUCGUCAGGUGAAUUUGGAAUCGAAGGGGAUAUAUGUAUAUAUAUGUAUGUGUGUAUAUAUAUAUAUAUAUCCGUGCAUCCGUGGUUGGCAUCUCUGGAGGGCAGCUUGUGCGUAGAGUGAGCAUCUUCGAGACGCCUGUGGCGCCAUGUCACGCGAGGUGCCGGCAACGAAAGCGGCAAAGAAAGCAAGGGACACGAUCGUAACGUGGACGACAACGAGUCGGCACGGUGUUCUUCGGCUUCGCGGCGAUUAAGGCCUGGGCCGGCCGGUCGGUAGGACGUUCAUUAGCCAAGGUGCUGACUAUACUAAUAACAGUAGAGAGGUGAUACGCGGUAAACCGUGUCACGCAGUGGCGUAGGUCGAGUCGGGGUGGCGUGGAGGAGGAGGAAGAGGAGGUGGAGACGGAAGUGGACGAUGACGAUGGACACGGUGUUAACGUAAUACCGGUGAAAAGAGAGGAGAGAGGACGCGUUUUGUUGUUGCUGUUGUUGUUGCUCGUACGCUUGAUGAUCGGUUCGCGAUACCGAAAGUGAUACAUCUCUAUAUAUUUAUCUAUAAUAAUAAUAAUAAUAAUAAUAAUAAUAAUAAUAAUAAUA